ACGACGCUGGCGGCGCGCCUAACACAUGCAAGUCGAACGAAGUUAUACAGACUGAAGUUUUCGGAUGGAUGACUGUGUAACUUAGUGGCAAACGGGUGAGUAACGCGUAAGCAACCUGCCCUUCAGAUGGGGGACAACAGCUGGAAACGGCUGCUAAUACCGAAUACGUUCUUUUUGUCGCAUGGCAGAGGGAAGAAAGGGAGGCUCUUCGGAGCUUUCGCUGAAGGAGGGGCUUGCGUCUGAUUAGCUAGUUGGAGGGGUAACGGCCCACCAAGGCGACGAUCAGUAGCCGGUCUGAGAGGAUGAACGGCCACAUUGGGACUGAGACACGGCCCAGACUCCUACGGGAGGCAGCAGUGGGGAAUCUUCCGCAAUGGACGAAAGUCUGACGGAGCAACGCCGCGUGAACGAUGACGGCCUUCGGGUUGUAAAGUUCUGUUAUACGGGACGAAUGGCGUAGCGGUCAAUACCCGUUACGAGUGACGGUACCGUAAGAGAAAGCCACGGCUAACUACGUG
RNAcentral lists this ribosomal RNA (518 nucleotides) under uncultured bacterium. RNAcentral's name for it is "bacterial SSU rRNA". It matches the Rfam family "Bacterial small subunit ribosomal RNA", at positions 33 to 507 of the family's 1533-position model. The record is from RNAcentral.